AAAGUUUCCAUCAUUUAUAGAGAAAUUUUAAAAAUCUGAGCAGAUAGACCAAUUGAAAUAAGAAAUAAAGAAAUUACUCCAAUUUCAUGUAAUUUUUAUACUGCUAAAACAUUAUCUUUCUCCUAGACGCGGGCCCCGCCUGACAUCACGUGUCUUUGCCUGAAAGUAUCCUUCAGGUUUGAUGUGAAUCAGAAGAGAGUUUUGUCCUUCGCCAUCCUAUCACCAAUUCCUAUACUGUACCAGCA
This 245-nucleotide long non-coding RNA is filed under the name Fukomys damarensis (Damara mole-rat). RNAcentral describes it as "lncRNA (ENSFDAG00000033324.1)". The record is from RNAcentral. Lineage: Eukaryota; Metazoa; Chordata; Mammalia; Rodentia; Bathyergidae.